UACGAAGGGGGCUAUCGUUGCUCGGAAUGACUGGGCGUAAAGGGCGCGUAGGCGGACUGCACAGUCAGGCGUGAAAUUCCUGGGCUUAACCUGGGGACUGCGUCUGAGACGUGUGAUCUAGAGUGAGGAAGAGGGUCGUGGAAUUUCCAGUGUAGAGGUGAAAUUCGUAGAUAUUGGAAAGAACCCCGGUGGCGAAGGCGGCGACCUGGUCCUUGACUGACGCUGAGGCGCGAAAGCGUGGAUAGUAAAAAGG
This 253-nucleotide ribosomal RNA is filed under the name uncultured bacterium. RNAcentral describes it as "partial 16S ribosomal RNA". It matches the Rfam family "Bacterial small subunit ribosomal RNA", at positions 524 to 776 of the family's 1533-position model. The record is from RNAcentral.